Molecule: small RNA, 181 nt
Filed under: Arabidopsis thaliana (thale cress)
Lineage: Eukaryota; Viridiplantae; Streptophyta; Magnoliopsida; Brassicales; Brassicaceae
Description: ATSL246720
Source: RNAcentral
UAUAAAACUAAAGUUAUCUUGUAAAAAUAUAUGCUUCUAAGUUUUUUUCAAAAAUUUGAGGACGUAGGUGAAUGUUUCUUUCUUUUGUCUUGAGGCACGGCUCUGCGCAUAAGUAAAACAUAUUGGUCCAAGUUACUAUUCUGUUUACUCAAAGGUUCUCCCAAACUACGUGACUUGGAGC